GACGAACGCUGGCGGCGUGCUUAACACAUGCAAGUCGAACGGAAAGGCCCUGCUUUUGUGGGGUGCUCGAGUGGCGAACGGGUGAGUAACACGUGAGUAACCUGCCCUUGACUUUGGGAUAACUUCAGGAAACUGGGGCUAAUACCGGAUAGGAGCUCCUGCUGCAUGGUGGGGGUUGGAAAGUUUCGGCGGUUGGGGAUGGACUCGCGGCUUAUCAGCUUGUUGGUGGGGUAGUGGCUUACCAAGGCUUUGACGGGUAGCCGGCCUGAGAGGGUGACCGGCCACAUUGGGACUGAGAUACGGCCCAGGCUCCUACGGGAGGCAGCAGUGGGGAAUAUUGCACAAUGGGCGGAAGCCUGAUGCAGCAACGCCGCGUGCGGGAUGACGGCCUUCGGGUUGUAAACCGCUUUCGCCUGUGACGAAGCGUGAGUGACGGUAAUGGGUAAAGAAGCACCGGCUAACUACGUGCCAGCAGCCGCGGUGAUACGUAGGGUGCGAGCGUUGUCCGGAUUUAUUGGGCGUAAAGGGCUCGUAGGUGGUUGAUCGCGUCGGAAGUGUAAUCUUGGGGCUUAACCCUGAGCGUGCUUUCGAUACGGGUUGACUUGAGGAAGGUAGGGGAGAAUGGAAUUCCUGGUGGAGCGGUGGAAUGCGCAGAUAUCAGGAGGAACACCAGUGGCGAAGGCGGUUCUCUGGGCCUUUCCUGACGCUGAGGAGCGAAAGCGUGGGGAGCGAACAGGCUUAGAUACCCUGGUAGUCCACGCUGUAAACGGUGGGUACUAGGUGUGGGGUCCAUUCCACGGGUUCCGUGCCGUAGCUAACGCUUUAAGUACCCCGCCUGGGGAGUACGGCCGCAAGGCUAAAACUCAAAGGAAUUGACGGGGCCCCGCACAAGCGGCGGAGCAUGCGGAUUAAUUCGAUGCAACGCGUAGAACCUUACCUGGGUUUGACAUGGAUCGGGAGUGCUCAGAGAUGGGUGUGCCUCUUUUGGGGUCGGUUCACAGGUGGUGCAUGGCUGUCGUCAGCUCGUGUCGUGAGAUGUUGGGUUAAGUCCCGCAACGAGCGCAACCCUUGUUCACUGUUGCCAGCACGUUAUGGUGGGGACUCAGUGGAGACCGCCGGGGUCAACUCGGAGGAAGGUGGGGAUGACGUCAAGUCAUCAUGCCCCUUAUGUCCAGGGCUUCACGCAUGCUACAAUGGCUGGUACAGAGAGUGGCGAGCCUGUGAGGGUGAGCGAAUCUCGGAAAGCCGGUCUCAGUCCGGAUUGGGGUCUGCAACUCGACCUCAUGAAGUCGGAGUCGCUAGUAAUCGCAGAUCAGCAACGCUGCGGUGAAUACGUUCCCGGGGCU
Molecule: ribosomal RNA, 1346 nt
Filed under: uncultured bacterium
Lineage: Bacteria
Description: partial 16S ribosomal RNA
Rfam family: Bacterial small subunit ribosomal RNA
Source: RNAcentral